Molecule: ribosomal RNA, 240 nt
Filed under: uncultured bacterium
Lineage: Bacteria
Description: partial 16S ribosomal RNA
Rfam family: Bacterial small subunit ribosomal RNA
Source: RNAcentral
UGGCGAACGGGUGAGUAACGCGUGAGGAACCUGCCCUAGAGUGGGGGACAACAGUUGGAAACGACUGCUAAUACCGCAUAAGCCCACGGUACCGCAUGGUACUGAGGGAAAAGGAUUUAUUCGCUUUAGGAUGGACUCGCGUCCAAUUAGCUAGUUGGUGAGGUAACGGCCCACCAAGGCGACGAUUGGUAGCCGGACUGAGAGGUUGAACGGCCACAUUGGGACUGAGACACGGCCCAG